UGAAUAUGAAAAGCUGUUGUUGCUUGGUAAGCAGAACAGCUGACCUGACUCGAUCGAUCGUGUUGAAGCCAUUGCUGCGGCUCUUAAGGGGUGUUGAAAUGGUUUUUGUCACUUACGCUACUUUACCGCUAGGCGCAUCUCUCAUUGCGCUUGCAGAAGCUAACGCGUGCAAAGUGCGUGGAUCCUAACCGCUUUCUCGACUCCCUUAUCCCAGCACCCGCGGCUACCGCUACUCCCAAAGCUUGACUGUUACAUAAGGGUAGGCUUUCGUUAUUUAUUCUGGUGACAUGCUUGAUACUGCCUUGUUCAACCUGGGCGGCUGUGGCCGUAAUUGCUUGAUUUGGCUUGCCCACCUAAAAGGUGGGCAUGUUGGAUGAAAUGGACGAGCAUGCCCGGACUGAGACACAAUUACUAGUAAAGAGUACUCUUUGCGCAAUCCGGCUGGAUAGAGGGUAGGACACACUGUCGGGCAGAGCAAUUCUUUUGGCUGCCCCGGUCGCACAAUUCCUGUGCUUCCCUAAUUCGACACCCUGAACAUGCUAAUUCUGACUGUCCGAAUGUCCCUGCCAGACCAAUUCGACACCCUGUCAGCCUAAUUCUGACUGUCGGAAUGUACCGCCAGGCUAAUUCGUAUCCCUGUCAGGCUAAUUCUGACUGUCG
RNAcentral lists this long non-coding RNA (660 nucleotides) under Volvox carteri. RNAcentral describes it as "long non-coding RNA (VCAR_LNC001831)". Lineage: Eukaryota; Viridiplantae; Chlorophyta; Chlorophyceae; Chlamydomonadales; Volvocaceae. The record is from RNAcentral.